UACAGGGGGGGCAAGCGUUGUUCGGAAUUACUGGGCGUAAAGGGUCAGUAGGCGGCCAACUAAGUCCGACGUGAAAUCCCAAAGCUUAACCUUGGAACUGCGUCGGAUACUGGAUGGCUUGAAUUCGGGAGAGGGAUGCAGAAUUCCAGGUGUAGCGGUGAAAUGCGUAGAUAUCUGGAGGAAUACCGGUGGCGAAGGCGGCAUCCUGGACCGACAUUGACGCUGAACGACGAAAGCUAGGGGAGCAAACGGG
This 253-nucleotide ribosomal RNA is filed under the name uncultured bacterium. RNAcentral's name for it is "partial 16S ribosomal RNA". It matches the Rfam family "Bacterial small subunit ribosomal RNA", at positions 524 to 776 of the family's 1533-position model. The record is from RNAcentral.